CUACGGGGGGCUCCAGUGAGGAAUAUUGCACAAUGGGGGGAACCCUGAUGCAGCAACGCCGCGUGGAGGAUGACGCAUUUCGGUGUGUAAACUCCUUUUAUAUGUCAAGAAAAUGACGGUAGCAUAUGAAUAAGCACCGGCUAACUCCGUGCCAGCAGCCGCGGUAAUACGGAGGGUGCAAGCGUUACUCGGAAUCACUGGGCGUAAAGGACGCGUAGGCGGGUUGGAAAGUCAGGUGUGAAAUCCUACAGCUUAACUGUAGAACUGCACUUGAAACUUCUAAUCUAGAGUAUGGGAGGGGGAGAUGGAAUUAGUGGUGUAGGGGUAAAAUCCGUAGAUAUCACUAGGAAUACCUAAAGCGAAGGCGAUCUCCUGGAACAUUACUGACGCUAAGGCGUGAAAGCGUGGGGGAGCAAACAGGAUUAGAUACCCGCGUAGUC
Molecule: ribosomal RNA, 440 nt
Filed under: uncultured bacterium
Lineage: Bacteria
Description: partial 16S ribosomal RNA
Rfam family: Bacterial small subunit ribosomal RNA
Source: RNAcentral